GACGAACGCUGGCGGCGUGCCUAAUACAUGCCAGUUGAGCGCUGAAGGUUGGUACUUGUACCAACUGGAUGAGCAGCGAACGGGUGAGUAACGCGUGGGGAAUCUGCCUUUGAGCGGGGGGCAACAUUUGGAAACGAAUGCUAAUACCGCAUAAAAACUUUAAACACAAGUUUUAAGUUUGAAAGAUGCAAUUGCAUCACUCAAAGAUGAUCCCGCGUUGUAUUAGCUAGUUGGUGAGGUAAAGGCUCACCAAGGCGAUGAUACAUAGCCGACCUGAGAGGGUGAUCGGCCACAUUGGGACUGAGACACGGCCCAAACUCCUACGGGAGGCAGCAGUAGGGAAUCUUCGGCAAUGGCCGAAAGUCUGACCGAGCAACGCCGCGUGAGUGAAGAAGGUUUUCGGAUCGUAAAACUCUGUUGGUAGAGAAGAACGUUGGUGAGAGUGGAAAGCUCAUCAAGUGACGGUAACUACCCAGAAAGGGACGGCUAACUACGUG
RNAcentral lists this ribosomal RNA (497 nucleotides) under uncultured bacterium. Its description in RNAcentral is "partial 16S ribosomal RNA". It matches the Rfam family "Bacterial small subunit ribosomal RNA", at positions 28 to 507 of the family's 1533-position model. The record is from RNAcentral.